RNAcentral lists this ribosomal RNA (433 nucleotides) under uncultured bacterium. RNAcentral's name for it is "partial 16S ribosomal RNA". It matches the Rfam family "Bacterial small subunit ribosomal RNA", at positions 29 to 507 of the family's 1533-position model. The record is from RNAcentral.
AACGAACGCUGGCGGCAUGCCUAACACAUGCAAGUCGAACGAGACCUUCGGGUCUAGUGGCGCACGGGUGCGUAACGCGUGGGAACCUGCCCGUAGGUUCGGAAUAACUCACCGAAAGGGGUGCUAAUACCGGAUAAUGUCUUCGGACCAAAGAUUUAUCGCCUUUGGAUGGGCCCGCGUUGGAUUAGCUAGUUGGUAGGGUAAAAGCCUACCAAGGCGACGAUCCAUAGCUGGUCUGAGAGGAUGAUCAGCCACACUGGGACUGAGACACGGCCCAGACUCCUACGGGAGGCAGCAGUGGGGAAUAUUGGACAAUGGGCGAAAGCCUGAUCCAGCAAUGCCGCGUGAGUGAUGAAGGCCUUAGGGUUGUAAAGCUCUUUUACCCGGGAUGAUAAUGACAGUACCGGGAGAAUAAGCUCCGGCUAACUCCGUG